RNAcentral lists this ribosomal RNA (977 nucleotides) under Eggerelloides scaber. RNAcentral describes it as "partial 18S ribosomal RNA". It matches the Rfam family "Eukaryotic small subunit ribosomal RNA", at positions 1160 to 1816 of the family's 1831-position model. The record is from RNAcentral. Lineage: Eukaryota; Foraminifera; Textulariida; Eggerellidae.
AAGGGCACCACAAGAACGCGUGGAGCAUGUGGCUUAAUUUGACUCAACGCGGGAAAUCUUACCGGGUCCGGACACACUGAGGAUUGACAGGCAAAUAUAUAUAUAUUAAAUAUGCUAGUCCUUUCAUGAUUAUGUGAUAGGUGGUGCAUGGCCGUUCUUAGUUCGUGGAGUGAUCUGUCAGCUUAAUUGCGUUUCACUAAGGGCUUUUAUAAAUUUAAUGCGCAGUGUGUUGUUGUAUUUUUAUACUCACACACACACGCGCAUGUAAUUAAGUCCUGAAAGCAACGAACGUGACCGCAACCUCUUGUUGCCUUUAUAUAUAUUUUUAUGCGCUCGCGCGUAAAAUAAAAAAAAGGCUUUUUUAUAAACUAGAGGGACCGCUGUAACUUUUUUAAACCAGAGGAAGGUUGCGGCAAUAACAGGUCUGUGAUGCCCUUAGAUGUUCCGGGCUGCACACGUGCUACAAUGAUCAUUGCAGUAAGCAUCUCAUUUUAAUUUUACACCGCAUUUGCGCGCGCGUUGUAUAUAUUUUUUUAUAUACAUUUGCUGUGCUGCAAAAGCGGUAAAAAGCCUGCUUCGAAAGUAAGUGGGUAAUCAAUUAGAAGUAAUGAUUUCCCUAAAUUUUUUUUAAUAGCACACAUAUAUACGGCAUCUUUACCCGUUAGUUUUUUUUUUUAAAAUACUAUUUUGUGCGUAUCGAUCGAAUCCCGUAUGUGCAAUUUGUCAAUUCAUGGUGGGGAUAGACCAUUGUUUUUAAUUGUUGGUCUCGGUCUUAACUAGGAAUGCCUUGUACGGGUCUUUGGUUCAACAAACCACCCGGAAUACGUCCCUGCCCUUUGUACACACCGCCCGUCGCUCUUACCGAUGGACUUCUCUGUGAGCUUGAGGGACUGACUGCGUAUCGCGAAUGGAAACUUAAACGAACAGUGUGGUCUAAAGGAAAGAGAAGUCGUAACAAGGCAUCGGUAGGUGAACCU